UACGGGGGGGGUAAGCGUUGUUCGGAAUUACUGGGCGUAAAGGGCUCGUAGGCGGCCAACUAAGUCAGACGUGAAAUCCCUCAGCUUAACUGGGGAACUGCGUCUGAUACUGGAUGGCUUGGAUUCGGGAGAGGAAUGCGGAAUUCCAGGUGUAGCGGUGAAAUGCGUAGAUAUCAGGAGGAACACCGAUGGCGAAGGCAGGUCUCUGGGCCACUACUGACGCUGAGAAGCGAAAGCAUGGGGAGCGAACAGG
Molecule: ribosomal RNA, 253 nt
Filed under: uncultured bacterium
Lineage: Bacteria
Description: partial 16S ribosomal RNA
Rfam family: Bacterial small subunit ribosomal RNA
Source: RNAcentral